Molecule: ribosomal RNA, 253 nt
Filed under: uncultured bacterium
Lineage: Bacteria
Description: partial 16S ribosomal RNA
Rfam family: Bacterial small subunit ribosomal RNA
Source: RNAcentral
UACGUAGGGUGCAAGCGUUGUCCGGAAUUAUUGGGCGUAAAGAGCUCGUAGGCGGUUUGUCGCGUCUGCUGUGAAAACUGGAGGCUCAACCUCCAGCCUGCAGUGGGUACGGGCAGACUAGAGUGCGGUAGGGGAGAUCGGAAUUCCUGGUGUAGCGGUGGAAUGCGCAGAUAUCAGGAGGAACACCGAUGGCGAAGGCAGAUCUCUGGGCCGUAACUGACGCUGAGGAGCGAAAGCAUGGGGAGCGAACAGG